RNAcentral lists this long non-coding RNA (1039 nucleotides) under Sus scrofa (pig). RNAcentral describes it as "lncRNA (ENSSSCG00070019740.1)". Lineage: Eukaryota; Metazoa; Chordata; Mammalia; Artiodactyla; Suidae. The record is from RNAcentral.
AGAGAAAUUUACACUAUUAAAAAUCUUUCUCCCUAUUUAUUUCCCUCUGACAUAACACAACCCCCAAAUUACUUAAUAACUGAGCUACUCCGGAGAAUGUCAUUUCUAAGCAUCUAAAAUUAACACUCCAUAAAUUAUCAUCAGCCUCAGCACCAAGAUAGAUUUGUCCAUCACUUAACUGCAUAAAAAGUUGUAGAGUUGCUAGAGUCAAACACUGUCCCAGGAGCUUGAGGGGAUGAAGCAUGGUAAUUUGCUCAAUCAAUAAAUGCUUGGUUCUUCUUAAAAACCAGAAUUAGGCACCAAGACAUGACAAGCUACUGUUUCUGGGGAAUUAAUCCGUUGCUGGGAUUGGCAUUAGGCAGGAGGCUAAAGGCCAUUAAAACAAGUUUAAAUUAGGAGUUCCCAUCGUGGCGCAGUGGUUAACGAAUCCAACUAGAAACCAUGAGGUUGCGGGUUCGGUCCCUGCCCUUGCUCAGUGGAUGAACAAUGUGGUGUUGCUGUGAGCUGUGGUGUAGGUUGCAAACGCGGCUCAGAUCCAGCAUUGCUGUGGCUCUGGCGUAGGCUGGUGGCUCCAGCUCCGAUUCGACCCCUAUCCUGGGAACCUCCAUAUGCCACGGGAGCGGCCCAAGAAAUAGCAAAAAGACCAAAAAAAACAAAAAAAAAAGUUUAAAUUAAUGUACCAAAAUGACUCAGUCCUAGGAUACUGAUCUUAUCAUAUUGGAAGAGAUUCUAAAAUCUUUAUUAACCAUUAACCUGACUUCCAAGGAAGCAGUCUGUAUCUUUCAUAUUCAGAAUUCCUAUUAGGAAACUCGGGCACUCAGAAGAAGAGGCAAGAAAGAACAAAGAGGAUCAACCUGCACAAAACCUUCAAAGCCUUCGACAUUACCUGAAGGCCUGUGGAACGAACGCUGCUUUGGGGAAAAUUCAAUCCAAUUCAGACAAAGUUACACACUGAGCACACAGGAGCUUGGACUCUUCUGGAUGUUCCCCAAGUCAAAAGCCAAGUUUGAGUCCUGUUUCCCUCAGAGGUGGCCUCUAG